UAGCACAAAGAAUGAUGAAUAAUGUAUCUCAUUUUAGGCUUGAUAUAAUUUUUUUCAAGAAAUAUGCAUGUUCAGAUAGUUGCUAUUAAAUGGCGUUAAAGUGUUGAUGUCUCUUACUGAAAAAAAAAACAAUUUUUUUUUACUUUUCUUGCAAAAUUGAGUACAUAAUGCUAAGGUCUGCUUUUCUGUUUAAUUCAAAUCGUCAUUUUAUUUAUUGGAUAUUCUGUGCAUUUGAUUUAUAUGAAGUGGGAAGUUUUUUCAAGUUAUUCAGCUCCAAUCGAUAAACUUGCUGAUAUGUUGGAUACGGUAAAUGAAUAUCUGCAACAUGAUGCCACUAUACUGUCUGAGCAGGACUUGCUGCAGAUUGUUAGGCCACUGUGUGAAGACAUCAAAGUUGAAAGAAUUCUGAAAUUGGAAAUUUCGCGGCUUUAAAAGCAUUCAUUUGAGCUGAGCAAGGGUUAUUUAGUUUUCUUUAUUUAUCAAAAAACAGAUGGAAUAGUUUCAUCGAACUCGGAUCGAAAACUGUUUUGGAAACUUGCUUUGUCUCAAAUCGUUCACGGUUGUUAAAGAUGACUGCUGCCCCUGCUCUUAUUUUGGUUUUCUUUGCAUCUAAAUAAUUGCUAUAUAAUUUGAUACACUGGAUUCAGAAAUUUUUACUGUAUCGACAAUUUAUCCCUCAGUCCCACCUUAAUUAUUGCUUACCUGGAUCAGACGAUAAGAGUACAGCGUCAUGUUUGUCUCUGCUGAAGUCUAUAAGCAUUUUUAUAUGAUAUCGGCAUGUACAAAAGUGUCUAAGGCCUUUCACACAAAGAAACGUGAAAUAGUUUCACAAGCAGCUUGUAGAGAAGACUGUUUCUGUAGCAUCUGUUUAUAUUGGCCUGAGUUUACUUUCUCGAUUCAGAUAGUGGCUUCAUGGGGUGAUCUGAGUCAAAUUUUUCAGCUGGUGGAAACCAUUUUGCAUGUGUUUCGAGAAUUCUUAAGAGAAUUCCCCAUCAUCAAAUAGUACUUUACUAGACCAGCUCGAGAAAUUGACAGUUCUUUAGCUUUGCACUUUUCGUUUUUUAGAUAUCAGUUCAGGACAAGAAAAGGGAUGCAGACAAAUUCUACCUAUUUUGGAUGUAGUAAAAGAAAGUAAAAUGCGAGUGAAUUCAGUGAUAUUGGACAACUGCUGUUGGUUUGGCCGCCUUCUGCUGCAACUGAGAUGAAGAUUCAUUAGAUGUUGCCACCCACAUUCGUUUGUUGUAGGAAAUUAAAGCAGCAGCUCGAGGACUGGUUCAGUUGGAGCAAAUAUUCACGUUAUUUCGAAGCUGAUAGCAAAAAUCAACGCUAUGAUAGAAGGCCAGAAUCAAUUGGGGGAAAUGUUCACUAAAUAUGCAACUAAAAUAUCAUAGGAAGAUGACCAGAAGAAGGAAGAAUCCAAAUUGAUCUUAAAAUACUCUUUGGUGAAAGCCUCUCACUUGGCCUUGGUAAUCCUUCUUUUGAAUAUAACCAUUAUAUUUGGUAUUCCUUUACACAACGUAACUAAAUACAUAUCGCAAGAUAGAUGUUCAAAUAUUGCCUUACGAUCGCUUUUUAUUAGUUCGAAAUCGGCAAUAAUAUUUGUACAACGAAUUGGUAUGUCACAAGAUGUAGUUCUAUUUACAAAUGCCCAAAUGUAGAUCCAGCUGAGACGUGUCAAAACUGCUUCUUCAAGCUCUGACGUCUGCCAAUGACAUCUUUUUUCUUUAGUUGGUAAUGCUAGAGAAGGCUCAAGAGCCUAUGGCUAAGCGCUAACAAGGAAAAGGGAGGAGGGAUUAGGAAGAGAGAGAGAAAAGAUCAGGCUUCUAUAUUUUUGCUUUGAAUAAAGACAGGUUUUAAGAGUCUGGAAAGCAGGAAGGGGGUAAAGCAUCCCAAAGUUUGCAAGAUCUAGGGAGGAAGGAAAGAGUUGUGGGAUUGAGUUCGUGAGUUUGGGAAGGAGAUUUGGAAAGGGUGAGGGCUAGAAGAGAAUCUGGUAUUACGUACAUGUCUCAAAGGGGCCAGGGAUCAUAUCUCUGAUAUCCUGAGAGCAAUGGGCGUGGUAAUACAACUUUCAGUGACCGAGCAAGAAGUGAUGUUAACCAAGAGGCCCGAUUAAAUAUGAUUAAAAGACUGUUAAGAUAUGUUAGACAGGAAAACGCUCAGGAAGAGAAACGGACACAUUCUAACCGUGACUGAUUUUGCUUAUCUGUUUUUAUAAAAUGCUUCUCUCUACCUAACUCUUUUAAGUAUUGUUUUUUCAUCUUUAUUUUGUAUGAUGUUCUGUUUUGUUCACCUCUUUUAAUCUUCUUGGGUAUUAGUCGAUUAGUUCGAGUGUCCCAAUAUUUAGGCUUUUCUCUAAGAAUUUUCUCUCGAUCACCAUUUUCGUCGCCAUUUUAUUAUUAACAAACGAUCGUUCUUCUUUUUACAGUAAGUCGAUUAUGCAUGCUUAGACUGGCAGUUGCUUAGAAAAUUCAUUUGGGCACAUUCAAAAUUCAGAAGCUGCUUGGUUUUUCGGAUGGCUGCAGUCUGAUGACGCAGUGGACUUUUUUCAAAGAUAAUGGUGAUGACCAUCCUUGAGCACUUGAGGAGCGAACCGAUAGAGUACAAGGACAUUUAGAGAUUUCUUGAUCUGAUGGAGCAGUCAUCUCAAAAGACUGCUUUUGGAUUCAAGGUAAAGAUAUUGUAUGAUUAUUUUUGUAAAUAUAAUCUUUAUCAUCAUUACUUCUACAACGGAAUCCCAGUGUCCAAUUUUUAAGCAGUUAUUUUUCGUCAUUGUAGACUAUCCUCUAUAGUGGCCCAACUUGACACAAGUUCUUCUACAAGGGACCAAUUCGACAAAUGCUCUUUUCAAAGGCCUGUUUUGAAGAACAUUUUUCUCUAGACCCCCGUGUUGACGAACGCUCUUUGCCAUAGGUCCAUUUGAUGGACGUUCUUCUCCCGAGACCUAGUUCUUUUAGUGUUACCGUAUUUUAUAUGAUAAUAAAACGAAUACUUAGACAAGAUUAACACUUCAACGAGACUGCUGUUUUGAAUGUGUCUUCUGUGCCCUAUGCCGUAAAUUUACAGUUAAAAAUUAAUCUCAUAAAAGUCGUUUCUGCUUUUGGUAAUCGGAACGCUUAACCUUCAAUGGCGCCAUUACCAAUGAUAAUGAACAAACUAAUUUGAGCAACUGUGGUAGAUUUGUGGCUGUGGUUGUUCAUUGUUGUUGCAGUUGGUUAUUUCCGUCAACCACGACACUACGAGGCCAUAAAUGGCGGGAUG
Molecule: non-coding RNA, 3258 nt
Organism: Rhopilema esculentum
Lineage: Eukaryota; Metazoa; Cnidaria; Scyphozoa; Rhizostomeae; Rhizostomatidae
Source: RefSeq, a predicted model, not a curated record